GACGAACGCUGGCGGCGUGCUUAACACAUGCAAGUCGAACGGAAAGGCCCUGCUUUUGUGGGGUGCUCGAGUGGCGAACGGGUGAGUAACACGUGAGUAACCUGCCCUUGACUUUGGGAUAACUUCAGGAAACUGGGGCUAAUACCGGAUAGGAGCUCCUGCUGCAUGGGGGGGGUUGGAAAGUUUCGGCGGUUGGGGAUGGACUCGCGGCUUAUCAGCUUGUUGGUGGGGUAGUGGCUUACCAAGGCUUUGACGGGUAGCCGGCCUGAGAGGGUGACCGGCCACAUUGGGCCUGAGAUACGGCCCAGACUCCUACGGGAGGCAGCAGGGGGGAAUAUUGCACAAUGGGCGGAAGCCUGAUGCAGCAACGCCGCGUGCGGGAUGACGGCCUUCGGGUUGUAAACCGCUUUCGCCUGUGACGAAGCGUGAGUGACGGUAAUGGGUAAAGAAGCACCGGCUAACUACGUG
RNAcentral lists this ribosomal RNA (468 nucleotides) under uncultured bacterium. Its description in RNAcentral is "partial 16S ribosomal RNA". It matches the Rfam family "Bacterial small subunit ribosomal RNA", at positions 28 to 507 of the family's 1533-position model. The record is from RNAcentral.